Molecule: small nuclear RNA, 107 nt
Organism: Ochotona princeps (American pika)
Lineage: Eukaryota; Metazoa; Chordata; Mammalia; Lagomorpha; Ochotonidae
Source: RefSeq, a predicted model, not a curated record
GUGCUCGCUUCGGCAGCAUACAUACUACAAACUGAACGAUACGGACAAGAUCAGCGUGGCCCCUGCACAAGGGUGACAUGCGAAUUCAUGAACACCCCAAUGUUUAC